GACGAACGCUGGCGGCGUGCUUAAUACAUGCAAGUCGAACGGAAAGGCCCUGCUUUUGCGGGGUGCUCGAGUGGCGCACAGGUGUGUAACACGUGUGUAUCCUGCCCUUGAAUUUGGGAUAACUUCAGGAAACUGGGGCUAAUACAGGAUAGGAGCUCCUGCUGCAUGGUGGGGGUUGGAGAGAUUCGGCGGUUGGGGAUGGACUCGCGGCUUAUCAGCUUGUUGGUGGGGUAGUGACUUACCAAGGGUUUGACGGGUAGCCGGCCUGAGAGGGGGGCCGGCGACCUGGGUACUGAGAGACGGCCCAGUCUCCUACGGGCGGCAGUGGGGGGGAAUAUGACAGAAUGGGCGGAAGCGUGAGGCAGCAAUGCUGCGUGCGGAAUGACGGGCUACGGGGGGUAAACAGCUUUGGCAUGUGAUGUAGCGUGAUUGACGGUAAUGGGUAAAGAAGCAACGGCUAACUACGUG
RNAcentral lists this ribosomal RNA (468 nucleotides) under uncultured bacterium. Its description in RNAcentral is "partial 16S ribosomal RNA". It matches the Rfam family "Bacterial small subunit ribosomal RNA", at positions 28 to 507 of the family's 1533-position model. The record is from RNAcentral.